Molecule: ribosomal RNA, 233 nt
Filed under: uncultured bacterium
Lineage: Bacteria
Description: partial 16S ribosomal RNA
Rfam family: Bacterial small subunit ribosomal RNA
Source: RNAcentral
CGGGACGGGUGAGUAAUGUCUGGGAAACUGCCUGAUGGAGGGGGAUAACUACUGGAAACGGUAGCUAAUACCGCAUAACGUCGCAAGACCAAAGAGGGGGACCUUCGGGCCUCUUGCCAUCGGAUGUGCCCAGAUGGGAUUAGCUAGUAGGUGGGGUAACGCCUCACCUAGGCGACGAUCCCUAGCUGGUCUGAGAGGAUGACCAGCCACACUGGAACUGAGACACGGUCCAG